Molecule: ribosomal RNA, 216 nt
Filed under: uncultured bacterium
Lineage: Bacteria
Description: partial 16S ribosomal RNA
Rfam family: Bacterial small subunit ribosomal RNA
Source: RNAcentral
UGGGAACGUACCUUUUGGUUCGGAACAACCCAGGGAAACUUGGGCUAAUACCGGAUAAGUCCGUAAGGAGAAAGACUUAUCGCCAAAGGAUCGGCCCGCGUCUGAUUAGCUAGUUGGUAGGGUAAUGGCCUACCAAGGCUACGAUCAGUAGCUGGUCUGAGAGGAUGAUCAGCCACAUUGGGACUGAGACACGGCCCAAACUCCUACGGGAGGCAG